This 752-nucleotide ribosomal RNA is filed under the name uncultured euryarchaeote. Its description in RNAcentral is "bacterial SSU rRNA". It matches the Rfam family "Archaeal small subunit ribosomal RNA", at positions 83 to 822 of the family's 1478-position model. The record is from RNAcentral. Lineage: Archaea; Methanobacteriati; Methanobacteriota.
UUACGGCUCAGUAACACGUGGACAACUGCCCUUCAGCGGGAAACAACCUCGGGAAACUGAGGCUAAUGUCCCAUAGGCGACAGACUCUGGAAUGACUGUCGCUGAAAGGACUGGCUUGUUCCAGCCAGUUCCGCUAAAGGAUGGGUCUGCGGCGGAUUAGGCUGAUGUUAGGGUAACGGCCUAACAUACCUACAAUCCGUACCGGCUAUGAGAGUAGGAGCCGGGAGAUGGAUACUGAGACAAAGAUCCAGGCUCUACGGAGCGCAGCAGGCGCGAAAACUCUGCAAUGCGCGCAAGCGUGACAGGGGAACUCCGAGUGUGUUUGUAAAACAAGCACUUUUGUAGUAUGUAAAAAGUACUGCGAAUAAGGGGUGGGCAAGACUAGUGCCAGCCUCCGCGGUAACACUAGCAACCCGAGUGGUAGUCGUUCUUAUUUGGCUUAAAGCGUCCGUAGUCGGAUCGUUAAGUUCUCUGUGAAAUCCUACAGCUUAACUGCAGGGCUUGCAGAGAAUACUGGCGGUCUUGGAGCCGGGUGAGGUUGGGGGUAUUCCUGGGGUAGCGGCGAAAUGCUAUAAUCCUGGGAGGACCACCGAUAGCGAAGGCACCCAACUAGAACGGGCUCGACGAUGAGGGACGAGAGCUAGGGGAGCAAACCGGAUUAGAUACCCGGGUAGUCCUAGCCGUAAACGAUGCAGGCUGAGUGUCUCCUGAACCUCGAGUUCAGGAGGUGCUGAAGGGAAACCGUUAAGCCU